This 183-nucleotide non-coding RNA is filed under the name Cyanobacteria bacterium WB6_1B_304. Its description in RNAcentral is "6S RNA". It matches the Rfam family "6S / SsrS RNA". From Rfam's summary of the family: E. coli 6S RNA was the first non coding RNA to be sequenced, but its function was unknown until recently. It consists of 184 nucleotides that fold into an extended hairpin structure with a large single-stranded internal bulge. The record is from RNAcentral. Lineage: Bacteria; Bacillati; Cyanobacteriota.
GUAUCACUGCGGCGUUGGUGACUGCCAACACUGUUUUAUGAUCUACAAAUCCACUCAUCAGGGUACUUAACAUUAUGGGCGGCAGUAAACCGAGCAUGUACUCGGAAACUUAAAGCCUUUUCAUUGUACCCACCUGGCUUAGCCAGGUCAAAAACUGAGGUAAAACGGCGUUGCGGUGAGUUC